Molecule: long non-coding RNA, 392 nt
Organism: Macrobrachium nipponense
Lineage: Eukaryota; Metazoa; Arthropoda; Malacostraca; Decapoda; Palaemonidae
Exons: 3
Source: RefSeq, a predicted model, not a curated record
ACAGUAAGGUUUUACAUACAGUAGUAUUACAUACGUACAUAACUUUUUUUUACAGGAAUUUCCAACCAAGUUUGAUUAUGUACAUACAUGUUAUAAACCACUGUACGUAUGGUUACUGUAUGUAACUUACUAAACAUACAUAACAUGACUUAACUUUGAUACUUUUUUGGUACAUUCCAGAAAACCAGGACCCCCUCCAUGAUGCAGGCUAUGGGGCCACAUAAAACUUUGUCCAGGGUUACUACAUAACAUAAAGAACCCCCUGAAUGAUGUAGGCUAUGGGGCCACAUAAGACUUUGUGCAUCCAGGGUUACAUAGCACGACAACUUUAAACUAAAGAACCCCCUGAAUGAUGUAGGCUAUGGGGCCACAUAAGACUUUGUGCAUCCAGG